RNAcentral lists this transfer RNA (87 nucleotides) under Nicotiana tabacum (common tobacco). RNAcentral's name for it is "tRNA-Ser (GGA) (tRNA-Ser-GGA-4-1)". It matches the Rfam family "tRNA". Rfam says of the family: Transfer RNA (tRNA) molecules are approximately 80 nucleotides in length. Their secondary structure includes four short double-helical elements and three loops (D, anti-codon, and T loops). Lineage: Eukaryota; Viridiplantae; Streptophyta; Magnoliopsida; Solanales; Solanaceae. The record is from Rfam by way of RNAcentral.
GGAGAGAUGGCCGAGUGGGUUAAGGCGUAGCAUUGGAAUUGCUAUGUAGGAUUUUGUUUACCGAGGGUUCGAAUCCUUCUCUUUUCG